This 457-nucleotide ribosomal RNA is filed under the name uncultured bacterium. RNAcentral describes it as "SSU rRNA". It matches the Rfam family "Bacterial small subunit ribosomal RNA", at positions 26 to 518 of the family's 1533-position model. The record is from RNAcentral.
AGAAUCAACGCUGGCGGCGUGCCUAACACAUGCAAGUCGCACGAGAAAGGGGAGCAAUCCCUGAGUAAAGUGGCGCACGGGUGAGUAACACGUGAAUAAUCUACCUCCGAGUGGGGAAUAACUGAGAGAAAUCUUAGCUAAUACCGCAUAACACUUACGAGUCAAAGCAGCAAUGCGCUUGGAGAGGAGUUCGCGGCCGAUUAGUUAGUUGGCGGGGUAAUGGCCCACCAAGACGAUGAUCGGUAUCCGGCCUGAGAGGGCGCACGGACACACUGGAACUGAAACACGGUCCAGACUCCUACGGAGGCAGCAGUGGGGAAUUUUGCGCAAUGGGGGAAACCCUGACGCAGCAACGCCGCGUGGAGGAUGAAGCCCCUUGGGUGUAAACUCCUUUCGAUCGGGAAGAUAAUGACGGUACCGAUAUAAGAAGCCCGGCUAACUUCGUGCCAGCAGCCGC